UGGGGAAUAUUGCACAAUGGGCGCAAGCCUGAUGCAGCCAUGCCGCGUGUAUGAAGAAGGCCUUCGGGUUGUAAAGUACUUUCAGCGGGGAGGAAGGCGAUAAGGUUAAUAACCUUGUCGAUUGACGUUACCCGCAGAAGAAGCACCGGCUAACUCCGUGCCAGCAGCCGCGGUAAUACGGAGGGUGCAAGCGUUAAUCGGAAUUACUGGGCGUAAAGCGCACGCAGGCGGUCUGUCAAGUCGGAUGUGAAAUCCCCGGGCUCAACCUGGGAACUGCAUCCGAAACUGGCAGGCUUGAGUCUCGUAGAGGGGGGUAGAAUUCCAGGUGUAGCGGUGAAAUGCGUAGAGAUCUGGAGGAAUACCGGUGGCGAAGGCGGCCCCCUGGACGAAGACUGACGCUCAGGUGCGAAAGCGUGGGGAGCAAACA
RNAcentral lists this ribosomal RNA (427 nucleotides) under uncultured bacterium. RNAcentral's name for it is "partial 16S ribosomal RNA". It matches the Rfam family "Bacterial small subunit ribosomal RNA", at positions 355 to 774 of the family's 1533-position model. The record is from RNAcentral.